Molecule: ribosomal RNA, 507 nt
Filed under: uncultured bacterium
Lineage: Bacteria
Description: partial 16S ribosomal RNA
Rfam family: Bacterial small subunit ribosomal RNA
Source: RNAcentral
AUUGAACGCUGGCGGCAUGCCUAACACAUGCAAGUCGAACGGCAGCACAGUAUGUAGCAAUACAUAUGGGUGGCGAGUGGCGGACGGGUGCGUAAUAUGUAGGGAUCUGCCCUGAAGCGGGGGACAACCCGGGGAAACCCGGGCUAAUACCGCAUAAUACGCUACGGAGGAAAUCUGGCACGCAAGUGCUGGGGCUUUAGGAUGAACCUACAUCCGAUUAGCUAGUUGGUGAGGUAAUAGCUCACCAAGGCAAUGAUCGGUAGCUGGUCUGAGAGGAUGACCAGCCACACUGGGACUGAGACACGGCCCAGACUCCUACGGGAGGCAGCAGUGGGGAAUAUUGGACAAUGGGGGAAACCCUGAUCCAGCAAUGCCGCGUGGGUGAAGAAGGCCUUCGGGUUGUAAAGCCCUUUAGGCGGGGAAGAAGGUUAUAGGGUGAUAAGCCUUAUAGCUUGACGGUACCCGCAGAAUAAGCACCGGCUAACUCUGCGCCAGCCGCCGCCGUAA